Bacillus sp. OxB-1 is the source of this 146-nucleotide regulatory RNA element. It matches the Rfam family "Ribosomal protein L10 leader". From Rfam's summary of the family: This family is a putative r-protein leader autoregulatory structure found in B. subtilis and other low-GC Gram-positive bacteria. It is located in the 5' untranslated regions of mRNAs encoding ribosomal proteins L10 and L12 (rplJ-rplL). A Rho-independent transcription terminator structure that is probably involved in regulation is included at the 3' end. The record is from Rfam. Lineage: Bacteria; Bacillati; Bacillota; Bacilli; Caryophanales; Bacillaceae.
GAUUCAUAUCCAUUUGUACCGUAGACAGCAGGGGCGGCUUGCCGCUUAAUGAUCCUGCCGAGGACAAGACGCUCUUUAAUUUUAAAGAUGACGACUUUUCUGCCCUCGUGUCUACUUCCGUAGACCGGGGGCUUUUUCAUAUCGGU